UCAACUUGACGCUGGCGGAGAUUGAACACUCCCGGGUGGAGGACGCAAUGAGCACCGAGCUCAGGUUGGCGCGCAAAGAGGCCACUGAUCUCCGCCACAAAGUGCAACAGCUUGCUCAAGAAAAGAUCGAACUAGAGAGCAAGAUUGUGCCUUACCGCGUCAAGGUGGCUGACCUAGAGGCUCUCAUGAAGGCCGACGCCGUCAAGGUGCAAAAACUAGAGAAAAGGUCAGCCGACCGAGAGACCCUCCUGGGGCAGGUGGAAAAGGCGAGGGACGACGCCAUAGCUGAUCUUGCCAAA
RNAcentral lists this long non-coding RNA (299 nucleotides) under Phaseolus vulgaris (common bean). RNAcentral's name for it is "long non-coding RNA (PVUL_LNC003035)". Lineage: Eukaryota; Viridiplantae; Streptophyta; Magnoliopsida; Fabales; Fabaceae. The record is from RNAcentral.